GAUUCAGAAUUACUAUUCAUCUUAAAUUAAUGAUAAUGAUGUAAAUCUGUUAUAAACCAAACAUUGUUUUCUUCAACUGCUGGUGAAGAAAUGACAUGUAGGAAUUACCUUUUUUAAUGUGAUGGUCAUAGAAAUAUUGUCUGGGUUCGGAAAUUGUGGUGUAAAAGAAUAAUGCCAACAUUAGCGUAAAUACUCUGUCCACAUUAUGCAUUUAAGACUCAAGGAAUAUUUAGUUAUCAUUAAAAAAAAUUUUUAUUACUCACAGAGAUUAGGCUUGGUCUACAUGUUUUUUGGAAAAUUAUUGAAUCCUCUGUAGAUGUCUUCAGCGUGUUUCUGCGCUCACUGAUGCUGCGUCAUUAUUCACUCAUUAUUCUCAUUAUAAACAUGGUUAAAACUGUUCCACACCUCAGAGUUUGCUUUAGUUGCUGGUUUCUCGCGCUAUAAUCGAAACACAUCACAUGACCUCUCGUUAACCUCGCAAACCGGAGCGCAAGCCCGAGCCCGCGUAAGAUGUUCGGGCAAAGAUCUUCAGCUCUAACCCUUUGGUGUACAACAGCUGGUCACUGGAGCAGGACCCUUAAAAAGACAUAUUUGUUCCUUUUUUACCCCGAAGGGUACGAAUAACUACCGUUAAUGUACUAAUAUGUAUGAUAGUGGCACGCUGUCCGGCUGUUGUGGCCCAAACAAGGUAUAAUGUCGUCCUGGAUGAGUGAGAGAUUCCCCGGUGUGAAACUGUGUCUCAGUCCGGUCUCGGGCUGGAGUGUGUGCGGUGAGCUCCAGCGCAGCGUUAGCGAGCUCUGUGACGUCAGCUUGCUGUGUCCCGAAACUAAAGAUAGUGACAUUAAUCUCGGGACACACUAAAUAGUUGAACUAACCCCCCACUAUCACCCCACGCAGCUCAGAGCAUCACUCUCAGUGUGCGUUCACACCACCGGCGUCGAGUAAAAGUAAAAGUCUUGCAUUGAAAAUGCUACUUAGGUAAAUAUAAUCAAGUAUAAACAUUACUUAAUGUAAGUAUAAUCAGGGAAAUGUGUUUAAAAGUUAACUGGGACUACAGUACUGUUAUUAUAUCAUUAGAUUAUUAUUCCUAUAACGUUACUGCACAUCAGCAACUCACCAGGAAAAUGAACAAUCUCAGACACCUUGGUCCACGUAUCACUUUUCAUUUAUUUUUUAUUUCCCUGUACGCAAACAGGGAAACAUCAUAUAUUAUGCUGCGUUCUCUGGAAUCCUCUCAAGCGGUGGACUUCUACGUUCCGAUUGGUUGCUGCCCAACCGCGUCAUAGCUCAUUUCCAUAAAGUUGCCUUGAUUUCAACUCUCUUCGACGCUCCUCGCCGCUGCUCGACGUCGGCUCACAUUGAAAAUGAAUUACUUCCGGCCACGUUGACGCUCUCGACGCCGGCGGUGUGAUUCGUGUGAACGCACAGUCAGUCUGUGUGACGCGUUCCGAAGCUCCUUCAUUAACAGACAGAUGCAUCACAAUCACAUCACAGUCAGAGGAUGAUUCUCUCAGUUACUAGUCUGUAGAUUGUGUCUGUGUUUCUCUCACUGAUGAUUCGCUCUCGGUCUUCAAAUGAUUGUACCCGAUCAGAUCUAAUAUAAAUAACACCAAAUUUGCUGUUGUCAGUACUUUGUAGAAUAUAAUACACGAUGCAUGAUCAUAUUACACAGGUGUUUCAAAUGUUAUUUUAAACAUAUUCUUAGUGAUAUUAUUAUUGUUGUCCAUAUAAUAAAGAGUGUGACUCUUCCCGGGAUCAUCGACUGGCCCUCAGAGAGAAACCAGACAUUAGUUCAUUGUCAGUUGUUUUGCUGGUGAGAUAACAUCGCUAUUUAUAAGUUUUGGUAUAUAAAUAAAUAUUAUCAAUUAUUAUUUGUCAUUUGAUGCAUUCUGUUUGAUAGGAUUUUAAUGACCAAUGCAUGCCAUAUGAAUGUGAGUCAGUAAUGAUCAUAGACCAGUUUCAGAAACUGUAUGUUUUGUUCAUGUUUGUUGAACAAGCCAAUGAUUACUGUACUAAAUUCUUUUUGGUUUGUAAAAGUAGUCUCGUCGACGUGCGUGUGACGUAAAUCUGCGCGUGACGUAGCUGUGCGCGUGCACAGCGCUGACUGCAGUCUGUCAGAGCGGUUCAAGUUUACUUUCGGUUUCGUUUCUCUGCCGCUAUUUCAAAGAGUGAUACAUGUGCGUGCAUGAACGAAAGACUAAAGCACAUUGGCCACCUCUGUUCAUGUAAGAAGUGUAUAAUGCUGGAUGAUGUAGAGUCACAUCCUGAAGAUAUAAAGCACUGAACAGCCAUCUGUCUCCUGUCUCACUUCUUGCUGGAGCUCCGUAGUGGACAAGCUGCAGAGAACAGAUUCCUUCUACAACAACACAAACAUAUUUACAGUCCAUCCAGUCAGACUCUUUAGAUAUGAUCGAGUAGGAUAUUUCACAACGAGAAUAACUCCAUAGCGCCAUCUAGCGUCAAGUUAAUGAUAGGGUUUUUCAUCGCUCCGUGUGAGACGGAAUCGUCCCGUGAUUAAAGCAUCAGAGAGUCCCGCGUGAGCGCAGACUGCACCGUGUUCACAGACAUGUACCGGAUGAAGAACACAUUCUCAACACACGAUUCAUCAUCCGCUUUACACACAUUAUUGAUUUAUUCGUGAACUCAGCCGUUAGUUUGAGGAAGGUUUAUAAGCUGAAAUCCUCUUCCUGCUGCUCGCGCGUCACGAGCGCGGUUUGAUUUCACCAAAUAAAUAUAUGCGAUCACACACAACUUAUUGAUAAUGUGCUCAACAUCGAGCAAGCCAGGCAAACACUGAAUCUUUGCUUCGCAGAUUAGAAUUGUGCGGUAGAUGCGUAUCAUAUUCACGCCAAAGUCUAUUUUUGCGUAUCAAUACCACGAGUUUUUGUUUUAUUUGCAGUAGCUACUAUUUAUACACAUUUUCAUGAGACCGGGAUCUUCAAAAAAGAUGCAUUUUCAUUCAUUCAUAGGAUAUAUGGUUGCAUUAAAAUUUUAGUUCGAAAAUGUCAGACUUGUAUACUGAGGCUUUAAUGACAUUAUUUUAAUAUAGUCAGUUAUGAUCUAAAGUGGGCCGGUCUAAUGCAGCAAAGCACACAGAAACACUUCAUUCAUUCUGACAGAGGCCUGCAAUCUUCUAUCAUCUUGUGUCCAAGCAGCUUUUCAGAAGUGAGGGGGACAGAAAUUACAAUACAACAUUAUAUAUAUCUGAGUCCCUUAAAUGUCCUCAGUAUAUAUAUGUCCUCGAUUUUUAAUGUUUUUAAAGAAGCCUCGUCUGCAUCUUGUUUCCUUCCGGAGCAUCAGUGAAUGUUUGAAUCUUUUUAAAUAGUUGUGUUUGAGUCCCUCAAAUGUCCUCAGUCUGAUAAGAUGCAUCUCAAAAUCAUAAAGUCACUGCUGGAAAGGGUUCAAAUAUGCAAAGAUGUUGGAAAACUGAAGAAUCUGCAGGAGCUUAAAGAUGUUUCUGAAGAACGCUGCUCAGUUUAACUGUUCAGAACAAACAAGGGACUCAUGAACCAUCACAAAACAGAAAGAC
Molecule: long non-coding RNA, 3529 nt
Organism: Carassius gibelio (silver crucian carp)
Lineage: Eukaryota; Metazoa; Chordata; Actinopteri; Cypriniformes; Cyprinidae
Exons: 3
Source: RefSeq, a predicted model, not a curated record